UCUCCGUUGGUGAACCAGCGGAGGGAUCAUUAGAGAGUUAUCAUGACUCCCGACACCCAUGUGAACAUACCGUACGUUGCCUCGGCAGGCCCGGCCGCGCCCGUCCGGUAGCGCUUCCCGCCCAACGGGGUGGGUGGGAAGCCUACCGGAUCGCGUCGCGUGCCGCGGCCCUGCCGGCGGCCCACGAAACUUUUGUCCCUUUGGCCCUGAAUUCUGAAGAUGGUGGAAAAUAAAAGUUAAAACUUUCAACAACGGAUCUCUUGGUUCUG
This 269-nucleotide unclassified non-coding RNA is filed under the name plant metagenome. Its description in RNAcentral is "partial contains small subunit ribosomal RNA, internal transcribed spacer 1, and 5.8S ribosomal RNA". The record is from RNAcentral.